UACGAAGGGUGCAAACGUUGCUCGGAAUCAUUGGGCGUAAAGCGCACGUAGGCGGCUUCGCAAGUCGGAUGUGAAAUCCCUCGGCUCAACCAAGGAAGUGCACCCGAAACUGCGGAGCUUGAGUACUGAAGAGGAUCGCGGAAUUCCCGGUGUAGAGGUGAAAUUCGUAGAUAUCGGGAGGAACACCAGUGGCGAAGGCGGCGAUCUGGGCAGAUACUGACGCUGAGGUGCGAAAGCGUGGGGAGCAAACAGG
RNAcentral lists this ribosomal RNA (253 nucleotides) under uncultured bacterium. RNAcentral's name for it is "partial 16S ribosomal RNA". It matches the Rfam family "Bacterial small subunit ribosomal RNA", at positions 524 to 776 of the family's 1533-position model. The record is from RNAcentral.